RNAcentral lists this ribosomal RNA (787 nucleotides) under uncultured Acaulospora. RNAcentral's name for it is "SSU rRNA". It matches the Rfam family "Eukaryotic small subunit ribosomal RNA", at positions 325 to 1111 of the family's 1831-position model. Lineage: Eukaryota; Fungi; Glomeromycota; Glomeromycetes; Diversisporales; Acaulosporaceae. The record is from RNAcentral.
AUGGUAGGAUAGAGGCCUACCAUGGUUUUAACGGGUAACGGGGAAUUAGGGUUCGAUUCCGGAGAGGGAGCCUGAGAAACGGCUACCACAUCCAAGGAAGGCAGCAGGCGCGCAAAUUACCCAAUCCCGACACGGGGAGGUAGUGACAAUAAAUAACAAUAUGGGGCUCUUACGAGUCUUGUAAUUGGAAUGAGUACAAUUUAAAUCUCUUAACGAGGAACAAUUGGAGGGCAAGUCUGGUGCCAGCAGCCGCGGUAAUUCCAGCUCCAAUAGCGUAUAUUAAAGUUGUUGCAGUUAAAAAGCUCGUAGUUGAAUUUCGGGAUUUAUCUGUCGGUCGGGCUUUUGGGUCUGUACUGGCGUGAUGGAUUUCUACCUUCUGAAUAACCGGCAUGUCAUUAAUUUGGUGCGCCGGGGAAGCAGGACUGUUACCUUGAAAAAAUUAGAGUGCUUAAAGCAGGCUUAUGCCUGAAUACAUUAGCAUGGAAUAAUGAAAUAGGACGGCAUGGUUCUAUUUUGUUGGUUUCUAGGAUCACCGUAAUGAUUAAUAGGGAUAGUUGGGGGCAUUAGUAUUCAAUUGUCAGAGGUGAAAUUCUUGGAUUUAUUGAAGACUAACUUCUGCGAAAGCAUUUGCCAAGGAUGUUUUCAUUAAUCAAGAACGAAAGUUAGGGGAUCGAAGACGAUCAGAUACCGUCGUAGUCUUAACCAUAAACUAUGCCGACUAGGGAUCGGACGAUGUUAAUUUUUUAAUGACUCGUUCGGCGCCUUACGGGAAACCAAAGUGUUUGGG